This 496-nucleotide ribosomal RNA is filed under the name uncultured bacterium. RNAcentral describes it as "bacterial SSU rRNA". It matches the Rfam family "Bacterial small subunit ribosomal RNA", at positions 28 to 507 of the family's 1533-position model. The record is from RNAcentral.
GAUGAACGCUAGCGGCAGGCUUAAUACAUGCAAGUUGAGGGGCAGCAUGAUAUACGCGAGUAUAUUGAUGGCGACCGGCGGACGGGUGAGUAAUAGGUAGGAGACCUACCUCAUACAGGGGGAUAGCAUAGAGAAAUCUGUGGUAAUACCCCAUGAGGUUAUAUGAAUAGAGGCAUAUAAUCAAAGCAUAAGCGAUUAUGCGGUAUGAGAGGGGCCUACUGACCAUUAGCUAGUUGGUGAGGUAAGGGCUCACCAAGGCGAAGAUGGUUAGGGGUUUUGAGAGAGAGACCCCCCACAUUGGAACUGAGAGACGGUCCAGGCUCCUACGGGAGGCAGCAGUAGGGAAUAUUGGGCAAUGGGCGAAAGCCUGACCCAGCCAUGCCGCGUGAAGGAAGACGGCCUUAUGGGUUGUAAACUUCUUUACUACGCGAAUAGAGGUUAGUACGAGAUACUAAUAGGAAGGUAGUGUAGUAAAAAGACACCGGCUAACUCCGUG